UUUUUNAACGCAUGUUGCGCCCGAGGCUUGUCCCGAGGGCAUGCCUGCCUGAGCGUCACC
RNAcentral lists this ribosomal RNA (60 nucleotides) under Symphyogyna apiculispina. RNAcentral's name for it is "partial 5.8S ribosomal RNA". Lineage: Eukaryota; Viridiplantae; Streptophyta; Jungermanniopsida; Pallaviciniales; Pallaviciniaceae. The record is from RNAcentral.